AUGGACUCAGGGGGCGGAGGAGGGGGGUCGCACAAGGCCGCGUCGGGCUCCGCGCCGUCGGCGGCGGCGGCGGCGCCGAACCCCACGGCGAUGCUCUCGGCCCUGAUGGGCAAGCGCGCCAAGCUCCAGGAGGAGGUCCGCUCCAUCGAGCGGCAGGUUUAUGAUAUGGAGACCACCUACCUACAAGAAUCUAAUCAAUUCGGAAGCGUGCUGAAGGGUUUUGAAUCAUUCUUGUCAUCGUCAAAAAACACUGCUAACCUCAAGCGGUCAAGGAAGUUUCAGGUUGAUGAGAGACUAUUCUCUCUGUCAUCGGUUACUUCUCCAGCGGUUGAAGAACAACUGGCUGCGCGAGAUGAGGCAAGAGAAUAUGCAGGUCGUUCAAAGGGCGCAAGCACUCCAGCUAAUGGCCAAGGGAAACCAAAGAAGGGAGGGCGUCCUGGAGGGAGAGACGGCAAGAGAAUACGCCCAUCGAACGAUCCAGACUUGGACGAUGAAGAUGACUACUAA
This 507-nucleotide ribosomal RNA is filed under the name Triticum aestivum (bread wheat). RNAcentral's name for it is "partial small subunit ribosomal RNA". The record is from RNAcentral. Lineage: Eukaryota; Viridiplantae; Streptophyta; Magnoliopsida; Poales; Poaceae.